AUACGGAGGGUGCAAGCGUUACUCGGAAUCACUGGGCGUAAAGGACGCGUAGGCGGGUUGGUAAGUCAGAUGUGAAAUCCUACAGCUUAACUGUAGAACUGCAUUUGAAACUACUAACCUAGAGUAUGGGAGGGGGCGAUGGAAUUAGUGGUGUAGGGGUAAAAUCCGUAGAUAUCACUAGGAAUACCGAAAGCGAAGGCGAUCUCCUGGAACAUAUCUGGCGCUAAGGCGUGAAAGCGUGGGGAGCAAACAGGAUUAGAAACCCUAGUAGUCC
Molecule: ribosomal RNA, 274 nt
Filed under: uncultured bacterium
Lineage: Bacteria
Description: partial 16S ribosomal RNA
Rfam family: Bacterial small subunit ribosomal RNA
Source: RNAcentral